Molecule: ribosomal RNA, 275 nt
Filed under: uncultured bacterium
Lineage: Bacteria
Description: partial 16S ribosomal RNA
Rfam family: Bacterial small subunit ribosomal RNA
Source: RNAcentral
AACGAACGCUGGCGGCAGGCUUAACACAUGCAAGUCGAACGGACGGGUGUAGCAAUACAUUUCAUCAGUGGCAGACGGGUGAGUAACACGUGGGAACCUUCCUCGUUGUACGGGACAACUCAGGGAAACUUGAGCUAAUACCGUAUAAGUCCGAGAGGAGAAAGAUUUAUCGCAAUGAGACGGGCCCGCGUCGGAUUAGCUAGUUGGUUGGGUAACGGCCGUACCAACGACGACGAUCCGUAGCNGAUCUGAGAGGAUGAUCAGCCACACUGGGA